RNAcentral lists this transfer RNA (402 nucleotides) under Gloeocapsa sp. AICB1013. RNAcentral describes it as "partial 16S-23S ribosomal RNA intergenic spacer". The stretch from base 135 to 208 matches the Rfam family "tRNA". Lineage: Bacteria; Bacillati; Cyanobacteriota; Cyanophyceae; Chroococcidiopsidales; Chroococcidiopsidaceae. The record is from RNAcentral.
UGGCUGGAUCACCUCCUUUUAGGAGACCUUUCAAGAAGAUGAACCAACCCAAAAAAAGGCUUCACAAAAAAUACAUCCCAAGGUCGGGACUAGUGGCUAGAAAUUAACUUUCAAAUUAGCUUAGGUUCAUUAAUGGGCUAUUAGCUCAGGUGGUUAGAGCGCACCCCUGAUAAGGGUGAGGUCCCUGGUUCGAGUCCAGGAUGGCCCACUUCCAAAAAAGUUGGAAGGCUCAAUCAUGAACAAAGGAAAAAGAGACAGCAUCUGUGAUGAGAAAAACAUCUCGGAAUGCUGGAGUCAAUCCAGUAAGCACCUUGAAAACUGCAUAGAUUAGUAGGUAGAAAAGAUUGUUAAAGAGAAGAAUCAUGGUGAGAAUCAGGUUUCUCACAGAACAAAGAGAAAAAA